CAGAAACAGAAGCUUUGCAUUUCACUUCUUCUGGGAGGGAUAAAGACACAUUUUACAAAAGAUUCAUCAACAAGGAGAAAGGACCAACUCCAUUCAUCGCAUAGCAGUCCACAACUACCAGAAAAGAUCUCACAGACAUCUCACAGAGUGUUAUCUGUAUUUACCCAGAAAUGACUGACACUCACCUGAGUCACAUUCCAGAGGAAUUAUGCAUUGGUGAAAUGAUCCAGUCAGAGCAGAAAAAUGUUCCAGGAGAACAAACAGAACAACACCAUGAAGUAAAAAACCAAGGACAAGAUACACAUACAGACAUACUCUGUUCAUCACAUACCAGUACACAAACAACAGAUGAGAUGGAUAACUUAGAGAGUAUACUCAGUAUUCACCAAGAAAUGACUGACACUAACCUGAGGGAUGAGUAUUUAUAAACAUGUUGCAGCUCAAGAGGAGUAUUGCGACUCAGAUGCAGAUGUCCAGUCUGUGCAGAGUACUACCACAUGUCAAGAAGGCAAGAUCUUAGGUUGCAUGCAGUGUAUAACACUAACAAUGUAAAUUACUUUAUUCAACUAUAAAAAUUGCUGUCUGUGUUAUUUCAGCGCGAACAAAUUCUGAAGAAAAUGCAUCCAAUUCAACAAAAAAAUUGUUGGCAAGAAAUAAUCACUGCCAUCAGUUGACAUGAGUAUGAUAUCACUCUAAAAAUUUCAUUGCAUGUAGUGAGGAAUGUUAGAAAAUAAAUCACUUUCAACCACAACAUUUUUCCCCUCUGUUUUUUAAGGACACUUGGAGGAAGCACAUUCUGAAGAAAAUGCAUCUACUUUAACAAAGAAAAUUUGUGGCACAAAGAAACCCUCAUUGCCAUCAGUUCAAAACGUACACUCAGAGGAAGAACCUCCUGAAGAAGGGGCAGCCAUUUCUAAAAACAAAAUGGGUGGCAUUAAUAAAUCCUCAUUGCAAUCAAUUAAAAAAGGAAAAUCCAGAAGGCCCUGGUCAAAGACUGAGGGAGACAUUGUUGAAAGCCAUUUCAAAGACUUCCUGAAA
This is a long non-coding RNA of Fundulus heteroclitus (mummichog), 1038 nucleotides long. RefSeq lists it as uncharacterized. The record is from RefSeq and is a predicted model, not a curated record. NCBI's taxonomy places the organism in Eukaryota, Metazoa, Chordata, Actinopteri, Cyprinodontiformes, Fundulidae. The transcript has 6 exons.